GCUAAGUUUAUUUUUUAGUUUUUAGAUAUAAUGUUUUUGACUCUUCGUUUUAUUUGAAAUAUUAUUGCGAUUAAUAUUUUUGUUAUUACUUGAUGAUGAAACAUGAAUAGUUUUUUAUGCGUGACUAAUGUUUUCUAAGUUUUUAUAUAAAUAUUUUAAAUAAGACGAAUCGUCGAAGUGUUUAACACAGAAAUUAAAAAAUUAACUUAUU
RNAcentral lists this microRNA precursor (211 nucleotides) under Oryza brachyantha (malo sina). RNAcentral's name for it is "MIR812 microRNA precursor family". It matches the Rfam family "MIR812 microRNA precursor family". Lineage: Eukaryota; Viridiplantae; Streptophyta; Magnoliopsida; Poales; Poaceae. The record is from Rfam by way of RNAcentral.